RNAcentral lists this ribosomal RNA (305 nucleotides) under uncultured bacterium. RNAcentral's name for it is "bacterial SSU rRNA". It matches the Rfam family "Bacterial small subunit ribosomal RNA", at positions 338 to 660 of the family's 1533-position model. The record is from RNAcentral.
CCUACGGGACGCAGCAGUGGGGAAUAUUGCACAAUGGGGGGAACCCUGAUGCAGCAAUGCCGCGUGGGUGAAGAAGCACUCCGGUGCGUAAAGCCCUGUCAGCAGGGAAGAAAAUGACAGUACCUGACCAAGAAGCCCCGGCUAACUACGUGCCAGCAGCCGCGGUAAUACGUAGGGGGCAAGCGUUAUCCGGAUUUACUGGGUGUAAAGGGAGCGCAGGCGGUAUGGCAAGUCAGAUGUGAAAACCCAGGGCCCAACCCUGGGACUGCAUUUGAAACUGCCAUACUGGAGUGCCGGAGAGGUAA